GUCCUCCAUGGGAUGAUUUGCUUUGCCUUUUACUAGGCUAAAGCCAUACCUAGCAGGGCAUAAAUUGCCCCUGCCCUUUCCAGAGCUACAUGACGAACGUCCUCCUACAAACUGAGAAUAGACAGAAUUGAAGCAGCAUAAGUUAUCCAUACAAUUUAUUCUUCCCACUUCACCUUCUUUCCCCGUUCAAGAAUCAUCCACCUCAAUAGCAGAAGAGAAAUUCCUAAAUUUCUCCCCCCAAAAAAAGUUCCCACAAGAAA
This 260-nucleotide unclassified non-coding RNA is filed under the name Hevea brasiliensis (rubber tree). Lineage: Eukaryota; Viridiplantae; Streptophyta; Magnoliopsida; Malpighiales; Euphorbiaceae. The record is from RNAcentral.